This 1072-nucleotide long non-coding RNA is filed under the name Phascolarctos cinereus (koala). Its description in RNAcentral is "lncRNA (ENSPCIG00000006925.2)". The record is from RNAcentral. Lineage: Eukaryota; Metazoa; Chordata; Mammalia; Diprotodontia; Phascolarctidae.
CUUUUCAACCCCAGACGUCAGUCUGGGGCUUUCCAUACAUCCACAGGCAGAGCUCCUCCGCCAACAGGCCUCCUUCCUUCACUGGUCAAGUGAAGAGUGAGCAGACUCUCACUUUCUACCCAAGCAACAUUCUAUACUCUUCCUGUCGGCCCUGGAGUCCUUAUGAGAAAAUGCCAGCUCAACAGAACAGGAUCCUGUCCGAGAACACCUUCAUUUGAUUUGCCAGCCAGGCCACAUGACCAGGGGCAAUCACUUCAAUUCAAUGAACGUCUAUUAAGCAUCAACUGUAUGCAUGGCACUGUAGAAUCCCUCAAAAAAUAGCUGCAUCACAGCUAAGUGCCUUGUACUGUCAUAUGCUUUGAAGGAUAAAAAGAACCAUUACACACAGUUCCCAACCUCCAAAAGCUUACAGUCUAUUUGAGAACACAAAACAUGAAACAAUUAAAGGAUAAUUUAGUUCCAAACUAUGGAGUAUUGGCUUCUGUGUGCUAGAAGAUCAGAAGAGGAUCUGAUGAAGCACUAAGGCAGGGGUGGGGACUUGCAGCCUUGAGGCCAUACGUGGCCCUCUGGUCCUCAAGUGUGGCCCUGGAUUCAAAGGGCAGCACUUGAGGACCUAGAGGGCUGCAUGUGGUUCCCCAUCCUUGCCACUAAAGAAGAUUUCAUUGGAGAGGUGGGGUGAGUUGAGCCUUAGAAGAUGGGUAAAGUUUUGAUGGACAAAGGGGAGGAGGAAGGUAGACAAUAUGAAUGCAAUAUACUUCUCCUUUCUUAUGCGGGCAUUUUAUUUGCUGAGGGGGGAAAGACUUUUGUGUUAGAAACCAAGAAAAAGAAGCUUAAGAUGCAUUGAAGUCCUGAGAGAAAACAGUUCCUCAGACAGAAGUACUAAGAGCACCUGUUGCAGUGCAGCUCUGAAACACAUGCACUGAGUGGCCAUAGUGAUGCUGCAAUGAAUUGUUUCCCAGCAAUUACCCUGGAUCUGACUGUUUUCAGGAUUUUGGAAUUUAUUGCUGGGAAACUCUGCAUUAAAGAAUUGUUUGGAGACUGCAGGAUUGCUGUAUAAUAACUGUCUGUGAUA